RNAcentral lists this ribosomal RNA (294 nucleotides) under uncultured bacterium. RNAcentral describes it as "partial 16S ribosomal RNA". The record is from RNAcentral.
GGACUACUCGGGUAUCUAAUCCCGUUCGCUCCCCACGCUUUCGUGCCUUAGUGUCAGUAAUGGGCCAGUAGACUGCCUACGCCAUCGGUGUUCCUUCUAAUAUCUACGGAUUUCACUCCUACACUAGAAAUUCCAUCUACCUCUCCCAUACUCAAGCUGAGCAGUUCAAGAUAUGUCAUAUUCCGUUGAGCGGAACGCUUUCACAUCUUGCUUACUCUGCCACCUACGCAACUCUUUACGCCCAGUAAAUCCGGAUAACGCUUGGGUCCUACGUAUUACCGCGGCUGCUGGCAC